UUUGAUGUUCUAACGUGGACCCGUAAUCCGGGUUGCGGACAGUGUCUGGUGGGUAGUUUGACUGGGGCGGUCUCCUCCUAAAGAGUAACGGAGGAGCACGAAGGUUGGCUAAUCCUGGUCGGACAUCAGGAGGUUAGUGCAAUGGCAUAAGCCAGCUUGACUGCGAGCGUGACGGCGCGAGCAGGUGCGAAAGCAGGUCAUAGUGAUCCGGUGGUUCUGAAUGGAAGGGCCAUCGCUCAACGGAUAAAAGGUACUCCGGGGAUAACAGGCUGAUACCGCCCAAGAGUUCAUAUCGACGGCGGUGUUUGGCACCUCGAUGUCGGCUCAUCACAUCCUGGGGCUGAAGUAGGUCCCAAGGGUAUGGCUGUUCGCCAUUUAAAGUGGUACGCGAGCUGGGUUUAGAACGUCGUGAGACAGUUCGGUCCCUAUCUGCCGUGGGCGCUGGAGAACUGAGGGGGGCUGCUCCUAGUACGAGAGGACCGGAGUGGACGCAUCACUGGUGUUCGGGUUGUCAUGCCAAUGGCACUGCCCGGUAGCUAAAUGCGGAAGAGAUAAGUGCUGAAAGCAUCUAAGCACGAAACUUGCCCCGA
RNAcentral lists this ribosomal RNA (590 nucleotides) under Salmonella enterica. RNAcentral's name for it is "partial 23S ribosomal RNA". It matches the Rfam family "Bacterial large subunit ribosomal RNA", at positions 2213 to 2802 of the family's 2925-position model. Lineage: Bacteria; Pseudomonadati; Pseudomonadota; Gammaproteobacteria; Enterobacterales; Enterobacteriaceae. RNAcentral also lists the same sequence under 1 other name. The record is from RNAcentral.